UACGGAGGGGGCUAGCGUUGUUCGGAAUUACUGGGCGUAAAGCGCGCGUAGGCGGACCUGCAAGUCGGGGGUGAAAGCCCGAGGCUCAACCUCGGAACUGCCUUCGAUACUGCGGGUCUCGAGUCCGGGAGAGGUGAGUGGAAUUCCUAGUGUAGAGGUGAAAUUCGUAGAUAUUAGGAAGAACACCGGUGGCGAAGGCGGCGACCUGGUCCGAUACUGACGCUGAGGCGCGAAAGCGUGGGGAGCAAACAGG
RNAcentral lists this ribosomal RNA (253 nucleotides) under uncultured bacterium. Its description in RNAcentral is "partial 16S ribosomal RNA". It matches the Rfam family "Bacterial small subunit ribosomal RNA", at positions 524 to 776 of the family's 1533-position model. The record is from RNAcentral.